UGGUCCUUUCAAGAUGUGAUUUGACAUGGU
Molecule: non-coding RNA, 30 nt
Filed under: Mus musculus (house mouse)
Lineage: Eukaryota; Metazoa; Chordata; Mammalia; Rodentia; Muridae
Source: RNAcentral